CGUUUCUUCGGCGAACUCCUCGCGAUCUCUUCUCGAAAUCGAGCUUUUUGUAUUUGAAGGGAUUUAGGGAUCCGAAAAUUUAAAGGAAAAUGGCAAGCACAGCAUGUUUUAUGAUUGUAAGCAGGAAUGAUAUCCCUAUCUACGAAGCUGAAGUUGGCACUGCGCCAAAGAAAGAAGAUGCUGCUCAUCAGCACCAGUUUAUAUUACAUGCAGCAUUGGAUAUUGUCCAGGACCUUGCAUGGACUACAAGUGCUAUGUUCUUGAAAUCAAUUGACAGAUUCAAUGAUUUGGUGGUUUCUGUUUACGUCACUGCUGGUCAUACGCGAUUGAUGCUGCUUCAUGACUCUCGCAAUGAUGAUGGGAUAAAAAGCUUCUUCCAGGAGGUCCAUGAACUAUAUAUAAAGAUACUUUUGAAUCCUCUGUAUUUGCCAGGAUCUCGCAUCACAUCCUCUCACUUUGAUACUAAAGUUAGAGCCCUUGCAAGAAAGUACCUCUGAGCCAAACUAUGGACCAAAGCUAAACAAGAAUCAUAUUGCAUUCAAAGUUCGUUCCUUGUAAAAUUGAUUCGCUAUUGAUGACUGGUUAUUGUGUUUGGAGUGAUCAUAUUUCUCAUGGUAAAUGAUAAGUUGACUACUGGACCUUCUCAUAUUAUAUAACCGCAACAAGUGGUGAUAAACUGAGCCUAGUUUGUAGGAGUAAUUGUUUUGUUAUAUCCUAGUCUACUACAAUGGAUCCAUUGCAUCUAUAUGCCAUGCUAUUGAGGCAAGUGAAGCAACUAACUAGCUCUUGGCUUUCGAAGACUUG
This 804-nucleotide unclassified non-coding RNA is filed under the name Hevea brasiliensis (rubber tree). Lineage: Eukaryota; Viridiplantae; Streptophyta; Magnoliopsida; Malpighiales; Euphorbiaceae. The record is from RNAcentral.